RNAcentral lists this ribosomal RNA (485 nucleotides) under uncultured bacterium. Its description in RNAcentral is "bacterial SSU rRNA". It matches the Rfam family "Bacterial small subunit ribosomal RNA", at positions 28 to 524 of the family's 1533-position model. The record is from RNAcentral.
GACGAACGCUGGCGGCGUGCUUAACACAUGCAAGUCGAACGGACCUUCGGGUUAGUGGCGAACGGGUGAGUAACACGUGGGUGAUCUGCCCUGCACUUUGGGAUAAGCCUGGGAAACUGGGUCUAAUACCGGAUAGGACUACGCACUGCAUGGUGUGUGGUGGAAAGCUUUUGCGGUGUGGGAUGGGGCCCGCGGCCUAUCAGCUUGUUGGUGGGGUGAUGGCCUACCAAGGCGACGACGGGUAGCCGGCCUGAGAGGGUGACCGGCCACACUGGGACUGAGAUACGGCCCAGACUCCUACGGGAGGCAGCAGUGGGGAAUAUUGCACAAUGGGCGCAAGCCUGAUGCAGCGACGCCGCGUGAGGGAUGACGGCCUUGGGUCGUAAAGCUCUGUGGGGAGAGACGAAGAAAGCCCGUGAAGAGCGGGCCUUGACGGUAUCUCCUUAGCAAGCACCGGCUAACUCCGUGCCAGCAGCCGCGGUAAU